AGGGUUGAGGUGAUCAUGGUAGGUGCCACCUUGGAGUUAGGCAGCUCCCUUUUUUCCUUCUCUGGGGUCGUUUGCUGCUAGAAGUUACCAUUGUGGCAUUAGAAUAACACUGGUCAACACAGCCCUGGUGUCCUCAACUUCUCAGACUGACAGCUGGAGUUGCCAAUCUACUCUAUCAGAGUGAAUAAACGAAAGUAAAGGGUAGGGGUCGGCCCCAUGGCCAAGUGGUUAAGUUCGAGUGCUCCACUUCGGAGGCCCAAGGUUUCACCGGUUUGUGAUCCUGGGCGCAGACAUGGCACAGCUCACCAGGCCAUGCUGAGGUGGCGUCCCACGUAGCACAACCAGAAGGACCUACAGCUAGAAUACACAACUAUGUACUGGGGGGAUUUGGGGAGAAGAAGGAAAAAAAAGAUUGGCAACAGAUGCUAGCUCAGGUGCCAAUCUUUAAAAAAGAAAAAAAGACAGUAAAGGAUGCUGUGGGCCACACUUCAGUUUUCCUCCAGGACUUUUAAGAUGGUGUGGUAUAUGAGUAACCUUGAGGGAGAGGCCUGGGGUCAUUUAUUUCCUGUGUGGGGAAGGGAAAGCACUGACAGUCACCCUCCUGGAACACCCUGACCACCUGAGCUUCAAAUACUUGGGCGGGGGGUGACUAAUUCAUUUAUUGUUCAACUAUUAAUCGUGCCUCAGACCUUCAGCAGGAAAUGGAAGACCUAAUCUGGGGAAGGGGGGGAAGGGAGGCUUGGUGAAAUUCACCCUCAGGAAGGGGUGGGGUCACCAACAAACUACUUGAGGCUCUAGAGAACAUCCUGUGAGAUUCUGGGCCUUGUUCUUGAGACGUCCAUGCUGUUGCUCUCUCUCAGUUCAGCAGUGAAGCCCUUACCCUGAGAGGGCCAGAGCCCUCUUCUCAGAGCCAGCGGGAGGAGGCGCUGAGGCUGAGCCCCACUUUGGGUCCAGUCCUGAAGGAAGAAGACCUCAGAGGUGAGAGCAGAUGACAGCUCUGGAAGGGCCAGAGAGACAGGGAUCCCCUCGGGAGGAACGAGGGAAGAAGGUGAAUGCGGUGGCUUCCCCCUGGACCGCAGCCCCCGGGAGGUUUGCCCGCAGCGGGGUAAGUGGCCGUAGGUUCAGGGCUCCUCCCCGUGAUGCAGGCGCUUCAGUCCUGAGCCCACAGCACCGGCGCAGGAGAUGUUUCCCAGGUCAUCUGCUCACCUGCCUGGGCCACGCACUGUACCCAGGUGAAGCUUACUUCUGUCUCCCAGCUGCCGAACUUUGCCCUGCAAUGGAUGAAGAACCACCAAUACAAGGCAAUGCAAUGCAGUGCAUAUGUGUGUGUGAAGCACCCCCAGGGUGUCCACCAGUGUGCCAAGUGCUGUCCUAGGGAACAAAAUGAAUCUGACUUACUCUCUGCCCUCUAUGGUAAACAACCUCUGACUUGUGACGGGAGAUGAGGGAAAUCACGCACAGGUUAAAUGAGUUGACUGCUCCUUAGCAGAAGAACUAGGACUAAGUUCUUCUGCUUGUCUUAAAGUAGAUCAGUGAUUUAUUCAUCAAGAACAUCAGGGAGAAGAUGAGAGGCCGUGUCCACUCAGAUUCAGGUGCUAGAAAGUUCGGAUCCCCAUCUUUGAUUGCCUAGAUUAUUGGAAGGCCUCUUUAAAAGGAGGAAAAGAUAAUAGAAAGUAUCAGGGGGCAUUGCAUGUAACAAGAAUAAGAGCCAUUUUAUGAAACUUUGUAAUGUGCCAUAUAUGGAUAUUGGGUAAAAAUGCAACAUGUUUUGUUUACUAUAGGUCCCAAUCAAAAAAUAAGGCCAAAGCAUUUAAUGAGAGCUAGUGAUCUUUAUAAAAUGCAAAUCCGAUCUUUUAUGCUCUUGCUGAAAGCCCUCAGGAGACCACGGGGCCUUCAGGUCUUAGAUUUGAUUUGCUUCUUUAAUUUGCCUUCCUGUCAAUCAAGUCACCCCCUUCCUGCUUCCUUCUCCGCCCCUGCACCUGCUUGCCUCUUCUAGUCCUCAGGACUCAGCUCAGUGCUCGCUCCUCCCAAGAAGCCUUGUCUUACAAGAAAGUUGUUUCCCAGUCAGGACACGUUUGUGAAAAUCUGGACAAUACAAAGUUUACAGACUUCUGAAAGACGUAGCUUUUUACGGUUUUUAAUUUACCAACGCACUUGUGAUGAUGGAAGGAAAGGUGGGAAAUGCAGUGUCCAGUAUUUCCCAGACUGCGCUGUCCACACAGCUCCUCUGCUGCGGCAUGUCUCGCAGGCACGCCCUUUGGGAAGCUUGGAGCUUGCUCAUUUCUCAAAUGCUCGUGAUGGAAUCAGUGUUGGCAGAGAGAAGGCGAGUGGUCGCUCCAGGCAAAGGAAGUGUAACAAGAGUGAAGUCUGCAGAUUGGACGAAGCAUGUUUGGGAAAGUGAUCAUUUGAGGAAGUGUGAAAUGUUAAAGGGCAAGUAUAUUGGAAGUAUCACG
RNAcentral lists this long non-coding RNA (2453 nucleotides) under Equus caballus (horse). RNAcentral's name for it is "lncRNA (ENSECAG00000048223.1)". Lineage: Eukaryota; Metazoa; Chordata; Mammalia; Perissodactyla; Equidae. The record is from RNAcentral.